AGGGAAAGUUGAAAAGAACUUUGAAGAGAGAGUUCAAAAGGGCGUGAAACCGCUUAGAAUAAAACGGACGGAGCCGUCAGUGGCCCUCUGGAAUCAGUCGUAUGACGCGCGACAAUGCACCCUGCCAGAGCGAAAGUCUGGUGGGUGUAUUGGGAAAUAGUAGCGCUCAUUCGAUGCAUUUCCGGAGGGUAUGCGCCACGACCGAUGCGAAAGGCUAGUGAAUCCGGCGAAUUGAGGUGGAAACCCUCCGGGGUAUUCAGUACCAGUUCGUUGGCCUAUAGUCGCUAGACCGCAGUAGGCAUCGAGCGCGGAAUAAAUCGAACACUGGCAAAAAUGCUCGUUUAAGCGAUGGAUAGUCGGCGGAAUAUUCAGUACCUGCUCGCAGGUUAUGUUUAUUCCCGUUCGGCGUUUGAAGUCGCGGUCGAGUUAAUAGUGUUCGGGCGUCAGUGGCGUCCGAGACGGUCAACCGUCCGACCCGUCUUGAAACACGGACCAAGGAGUCUAACGUACGGCGAGCUAAUGAGUGGAAAACUCAUAAGCGCAAUAAAAGUGAAAGCCGUUUCGGACGGCGCUGGGUACGAUCCUGGGUGUAUUUAUUUACCCCUGGCGCAGUACCAUCCCAUCCUGAUCGCUUGUCGAUAGGGUGGAGAUUGAGUGCAUACGUUGGGACCCGAAAGAUGGUGAACUAUGCCUGAGCAGAGCGAAGCCAGAGGAAACUCUGGUGGAGGUUCGUAGCGGUUCUGACGUGCAAAUCGAUCGUCAGACUUGGGUAUAGGGGCGAAA
This 783-nucleotide ribosomal RNA is filed under the name Longidorus apulus. RNAcentral describes it as "partial large subunit ribosomal RNA". It matches the Rfam family "Eukaryotic large subunit ribosomal RNA", at positions 356 to 928 of the family's 3401-position model. Lineage: Eukaryota; Metazoa; Nematoda; Enoplea; Dorylaimida; Longidoridae. The record is from RNAcentral.